AAAGGGAGAAAAAAGAAAGAAGAAAACAAAGCCACAGGAAGGAAAUAAUAGGGGUCAAUUCGUAUCUCUCUCUUCUUCUUCUUCUUCUUCUUCUUC
RNAcentral lists this non-coding RNA (96 nucleotides) under Polytomella parva. Lineage: Eukaryota; Viridiplantae; Chlorophyta; Chlorophyceae; Chlamydomonadales; Chlamydomonadaceae. The record is from RNAcentral.